CAGUCGCCACGGGAAUACAGAGGGUGCAAGCGUUAAUCGGAAUUACUGGGCGUAAAGCGCGCGUAGGUGGUUUGUUAAGUUGGAUGUGAAAGCCCCGGGCUCAACCUGGGAACUGCAUCCAAAACUGGCAAGCUAGAGUACGGUAGAGGGUGGUGGAAUUUCCUGUGUAGCGGUGAAAUGCGUAAAUAUAGGAAGGAACACCAGUGGCGAAGGCGACCACCUGGACUGAUACUGACACUGAGGUGCGAAAGCGUGGGGAGCAAACAGGAUUAGAUACCCCUGUAGUCCCUGUCUCUUAUAC
RNAcentral lists this ribosomal RNA (301 nucleotides) under uncultured bacterium. RNAcentral's name for it is "partial 16S ribosomal RNA". It matches the Rfam family "Bacterial small subunit ribosomal RNA", at positions 509 to 807 of the family's 1533-position model. The record is from RNAcentral.